CCUGCGGAAGGAUCAUUAAUGAAUUGUAAUGGAGGCUGAUGCUGGGAAAGUCAACUUUGUUGGCCUCCAUGUGCUCGCCGCCCAACAAUAUUUUGUCCAAAUAYAACCACCUGYGCACAUUUCGGGGGAGAGAGAGGGGUGUUCUCUUACUUGUUCCCUCGAUAUACAACCACCGCCUUACAAUAUUGAACGUGAUUGUGCCGCCAGGCUUUUAACGAAAUACAACUUUUAACAACGGAUCUCUUGGCUCUCGCAUCGAUGAAGAACGCAGCGAAAUGCGAUAUGUAAUGUGAAUUGCAGAAUUCAGUGAAUCAUCGAAUCUUUGAACGCACCUUGCGCCCCCUGGUAUUCCGGGGAGCACUCCUGUUCGAGUGUCGUGAAUUCUUCAAGCCUCUGGAUGUUUUUCAUCUCACGGGCUUGGUAGUAUUGGGCUUUGCUGUGCCAUUUGUUGGAGCGGCUUGCCUUAAAAUCAUUAGCUGAUCCUUAUGCGGCAUUGGUUCUACUUGGCGUGAUAACAAUCUGACCGCUGAGGACAUCUCCUGUGGGAUGGCCAAUUCUUCAUCUGGGUUGCUUCUAAUUUGGGCCCGUGCCCCUUUGCAGAUUCUGAUUCUGCUGUGUUGCGCACGGCUCCCUUUUCUCCUUUGACCUCGAAUCAGGUGGGACUACCCGCUGAACUUAAGCAU
RNAcentral lists this ribosomal RNA (683 nucleotides) under Clavulina sp. RNAcentral's name for it is "eukaryotic LSU rRNA". Lineage: Eukaryota; Fungi; Basidiomycota; Agaricomycetes; Cantharellales; Hydnaceae. The record is from RNAcentral.